This 406-nucleotide ribosomal RNA is filed under the name uncultured bacterium. RNAcentral describes it as "partial 16S ribosomal RNA". It matches the Rfam family "Bacterial small subunit ribosomal RNA", at positions 29 to 526 of the family's 1533-position model. The record is from RNAcentral.
AUUGAACGCUGGCGGCAGGCCUAACACAUGCAAGUCGAACGAGUGGCGGACGGGUGAGUAAUGUCUGGGACACUGCCUGAUGGAGGGGGAUAACUACUGGAAACGGUAGCUAAUACCGCAUACCAUCGGAUGUGCCCAGAUGGGAUUAGCUAGUAGGUGGGGUAACGGCUCACCUAGGCGACGAUCCCUAGCUGGUCUGAGAGGAUGACGAGCAACACUGGAACUGGGACACGGUCAAGAAUCCGACGGGAGGCAGCAGUGGGGAAGAUGGCACAAGGGGCGAAAGCCUGAUGCAGCCAUGCCGCGUGUAUGAAGAAGGCCUUCGGGUUGUAAAGUACUUUCAGCGGGGAGGCGUUACCCGCAGAAGAAGCACCGGCUAACUCCGUGCCAGCAGCCGCGGUAAUUC